ACAGAGGGUGCAAACGUUGUUCGGAAUUACUGGGCGUAAAGCGCGUGUAGGCGGUCAUGUAAGUCGGAUGUGAAAGCCCUCGGCUCAACCGGGGAAGUGCACCCGAAACUGCGUGACUGGAGUCUCGGAGAGGAUAGUGGAAUUCUCGGUGUAGAGGUGAAAUUCGUAGAUAUCGAGAGGAACACCGGUGGCGAAGGCGGCUAUCUGGACGAUGACUGACGCUGAGACGCGAAAGCGUGGGGAGCAAACA
This 250-nucleotide ribosomal RNA is filed under the name uncultured bacterium. RNAcentral's name for it is "partial 16S ribosomal RNA". It matches the Rfam family "Bacterial small subunit ribosomal RNA", at positions 525 to 774 of the family's 1533-position model. The record is from RNAcentral.